AAAUUUUUUAGUAUAACCGUACAUCUAGCUUCCAACUAGAAAGUCUAAAUAAUUAGAAAAAUU
RNAcentral lists this transfer RNA (63 nucleotides) under Cherax destructor. RNAcentral's name for it is "tRNA-Gly". The record is from RNAcentral. Lineage: Eukaryota; Metazoa; Arthropoda; Malacostraca; Decapoda; Parastacidae.